RNAcentral lists this small RNA (92 nucleotides) under Marmota monax (woodchuck). RNAcentral's name for it is "Small nucleolar RNA U3". The stretch from base 1 to 41 matches the Rfam family "Small nucleolar RNA U3", at positions 1 to 41 of the family's 219-position model. Lineage: Eukaryota; Metazoa; Chordata; Mammalia; Rodentia; Sciuridae. The record is from Rfam by way of RNAcentral.
AAGACUAUACUUUCAGGGAUCAUUUCUAUAGUAUGUUACUAGAAUGCCAUGGCCAUUCCUUUCAAGUCUUCAUCUAGACAAGUAUCUGUAGG